GGAGGGCGCGGCCAUCUUGGGGCGGCGCGGCCAUCUCGGGGCGGCGCGGCCAUUUCAGGGCGGCGCGGUGGCCCCGCCCGCGGAGGGGCGGUGUGAGGUGGCCCCGGUCGCCCGCCCCGCUGCGCCGUGCAUGUCUGGGGACGUCUCACUUCAUCUGUCACCAGUUCUGCUCGCCUGCCCAGCUGUCAAAACAGGGGGUGUCUUUUUCAUUCCAGCUCACAAAGUACCAAAGGGGAAAAGGGGCUUUAAUGCCUGUGUUUGGACACAAGCAAUUAUCCCUAAUUAUUGUUUUUCUUUUGAGCCUGCCCGUCCCGCUGGAGAGCCAACAGAUGAGCAUGCCCUAAUCCUCCCCAGUCGGUUGAUCUCAGUGGGUUUUGCGGGACAAACCGGGCGAGAAGGCUCCGCGACUUUCAUCUCGAUGCAACCUUGUCAUCUCGCUUCAGCAUCUCUAAUGACAAGCUGACAAUAGGUCCCGCAGACAGCACCUCCAGAGCACAGCUGGGAACUACACGGAGCUCCUUCCCUUCAUUUUAGAGGCAGGAAAUGGGAUGAAGAGCUUCAAACAAUGCAGUCUAACAGUAAUGACAUGCCAUGUAUGAAUCCAAGUUCAUAUAUUUUACUAAAGACUACACUUCACAUGUGCAGGAAUGCUUCUUAAUACAACUGAUACCUUGAAGAUCACCACCUGAAAACCAGGUCUGAUUUGAAAUGAAUGGAAUUGCCAUCACUGAAUGGCAAUUCUAUUCAAUAAGAAAAAAUAUAUAUGUUAUCAGCCAUGUGGAGAUGCGCAACCCUAAAUGAAGGUAUACAACUGGUAAAAUGGAUGAGCAAAAUGGUAGCUAUUAAAAAAUAGAAAAACCAUGCAUGUGUAUUGUUCAAAUCUAAGAUAAAAAUCACAUGAUGUGGAAGAGAAAUAGAACUGCCCUGUUAUUAAACUGUUAAUUGAAUGUGUUCAGUUUCAGAUAGGAAAAGAGAUGUAUACUGGUUCUGUACAUCAAGUACACUUCUCCUGCAUUUGUAUUGUUCAUAUUCAUGUUAACUAUUUUUGACACAAAAAUAUGUUGGAGUGUUCAUAUCUGUAGGUUCAGGAAAGUUGAAAAAUGUUUCCUGAAUGCAUCUGCACGUGCAUUUCUACUGUCAGUAAAGUUUCUGAAGGAAAAAAAAGUAUAUAUACAAAAAGAAGGAAUAGAAAGUUGCUGUAAAAACCCUUUCUAUGCUAGUAAAGGAAGAAGGGCACUCUGCAUGUAUGAUCCAAAGCACAAGCUGUAUUCACAUGGAUCACACAGCUGAAAAGAAAUCACCAAAGUCAAGACAAGGAGGUUCCUUCACCUGUUGAUUCCUGAGCCAGCAGUGAAAACAUCAGCUUAGUGUCUGGAAAGAGUAAGGUGUCUCAGGAAGCUGAGCCACAGCGACACACGCGGAGGAGGUCCUCACGAGGUGGUCACCAAAACCAAGUGUGGAGCAUCGCUGCAUGUAUGCUUCUGCUCCACUCUGGAAUGUGGCACUUGGAUUACUUGGGAUUCAGAGCCCUUGGCUGCCCAACUGAGUCAACUGCCUUGUCUUCAAAGCACAGACACCAAAGCUACUACCUGCCAGCACUUGAUAGCCUACAAGUCUGUUCAGAUGCUGGUGUGCAGCCUGUGAAGAGAGAGGCCCAUCUCAUACACUCUAGUGCACAAGAAAUAUCGGAAACCAACUUUAACCUCUGCUGUAGAAGUAUACAGUCUGUGUAGCUGCUAGUGUACACUGGCAACUAAAGCAUGGGCGUCUGGGGAUAAGUAAGUUGGUACACAAUUACUCAAAGCCCAGAGAAGCUUCGCAGCUAUUACAGUGUGGAUUUUCUGGAUUAUAUUCUUGAUUUAAGUACUUGUAUCAUUUUGGAUGCCUCUCUGCUCCUUAACCACUACCCUUUAACUGCUCCAGCUACAUCUGCACACUCUCUCAGAGGUUAGGCAAAGGAAGCACCCAGAGCCCUGUGUGGUUUCUGACCUGGGCCCUAUAUCCAUAUGGAAGCUGGUGAGACUCGAGCAUUUCCAGUGGUUCCCACCCUGCAGUACCUCCACAUUUGGAUGACAUUACCACACGGGAGCCUUCCUGCCAAAAUGUUCUCCCUAGCGUGCUUCCCUAGGAGACUUUACUGCGAGGAGAAACCCCUGCCCCAUCUGCUGUGAGAUGACAGUGACAUUUUAAUACCACAUUUAAAAAUACGAUGCAGGCUGCAGAGCCAGGCUGCGGAGUCAUGCAACUUUAUUACUUGUUUAAUUUGAAAACAACCUAGAAAAAAAAUCAGUUCUACUCACUUGUGGCUUCCCCAUCUGGAGGGCAUUGAGCUCAUCUCACUGAGAGAGCUGUCACAAGCAUAUUGGGUGGAUCAGAUCCCUGUUAAUGUCAGUGGGACGUGCACACUAUCACUCAUUUAUUCUAUGGGAGAUUUUAGUACAAGCAUCGAGGAGGGACUAUGCUCUUCCACUAACUGACAUCGCCAUAUAAAUUAGCAUCUCCCAGUGUUUUGAAUUUAUGAGCUAAUUAAAAACAAAACCUACACGUACUCCUCAGUUAUACAGCUUAUUUGCAGUCUCACAAUAUUUUCUAGUUCUAGGUGCAGCUAUUGCAAUAUGCAUUUCAAGCACAGUUAGAAAACCAAACGACUGAGCAAAGUGAGAAAAAAGGAAGACGUAAUUCCACAUGGCUAAUGGAGAGACCCCUGCACAGAGAGCUUGUGCUACUUAGCAGGGCCAGGGCCCUCAUGGACCCAGAGGAGCUCUGCUGUGGCUCAGUGCUGUGCACCAGGGCAUUCAGUUCUGUGUACCAGGGCACUCAGUGCUUCAUGACUGCUGCACCAUGAUGCUAGAUGCUUCAUGGAAACUCAAAUGGGCUUCCUUUCAGCUGACCUUGGGUACCUCCCAAACAUAGAUUUGUGUCCCAGCUGGAGAUCUACACCCCUUUAUGGUCAAAUAAAGCUUAUGAGAAGAAGUUAUCUCACUUUUUAAAAAUUAAUUAAAGAGGUGAAUUGCAUUCAGAAAUGCUUUCGUUCCCCUUGCACUGUGAAGGAAAUUGGGAUUGUUUGCUUGAUGGGCAACUUAUUUAACAAAAAAUUCUCAUCCUUGAUAUAUGAGUUUCCAUGGUAGGCGAGCAGUCAAAUAGUAGGCGUUUGCUUCACUCAACAGCCAGAUUGUUAGUGCAGGCCUGCAAAGUAUCAGAUCAUUCUCAGAACUUCCCUCACCUUGGUUUAGAGUGAGGAUUGAACUCAGCUCUCCCACCCCUCAAGAGAGCAGACCGACUACCAGUCUCUCUUGUAGAAGCUGUUCUUCUUGUAUGAAUAAUUAACUAGUUAUUGGAGAAGAGGUUUGGACCUGACUUGCCGACAUCCAGAUGAGCAAGCUAACCAGAAGGCUGGGGAAUCACUGGUUUGCACUUCCCAUUCCUCUUCCUGGCCCAGUGAGUGCUUAAUUAUUUAUACAAAGGGAUUUAUGUAGUUUAAGGGGAAGAAAGGCUAAUUUUGGGAUAGGAGACAUUAAUGUGUUUAUUCUAAAUCAAGUUGAAAGUGAAUUUGUUAGUUGGUUUUAGUUGUCAGAUAAGCUCUAGCACUGGGAACCACUGAAUCUCUGUCUGUGCAUGCAAGAGAGCACAAAUAAAGGCCUUUCUCCUUCAUUUAUGGUAGCAAGAAGUCUCACUGCUUGCUUGCAAAAGAGCUGACAGCCUUCCUCAAGGCCAAACCCUUCCCAAAGUGUGCAGAGGAAGUGAGAAUUCUGCCUCUGGGAGAGGAAUCCAGAGUUCUAAAUCUCUGUUGGUUGUCUCCUUGUUUCUCUGACUCCAUAGGUUGAUUACAGGAGCCCAGAAAAUUAUAUCUGAGCCUCUAGAUGCUACUGUCAUAUUUAUUACCCGAUGUGGACUUGAAGUCUUAGCUGAAUGGAUGCUCUUUGGCUACAUCCAUACUGUCCAGGCUCAGGUUUCUUCCAUUUGUGACAUAUAGGGUUGUGCUACAUGCAGCAGUGGUAUGCCAGUGCACACCAUGUGUUUCUACUGCCUUUUCCAAGGAAGUCAGGAAAAUGUUGUGCCGCUCUCCAUGCUGUUGUAGCGACAUAUGUGGGCAGUUAGGAGCUGUGCUCUCAUGUAAAAUGAGUUAACCUGAACCAUGCAGCAGGCAGAAAAAGCAGUCUGAUGCAUGGUCAUGCUGAGCACAGAUACCCCAAUGUGAUGUUUUAACAAAUAAGUGCCCUCCAGAGCCUUCACUGUGCUUUGUGGGAAGACCAGAAGAAAAAAUAUCUCUGAUGAUAUUCUGAUGUGUUCUAAAGCAAGUAUGCUGAUGACACCAAGCUGAGUGGUGCGGUUGACACAAUGGAAGGAAGAGAUGCCAUUCAGAGGGACCUCAGCAGACUUGAAAGGUGGGCCCAGAUGAAUCUAAUGAAGUUCAGCACAGCAAAGUGCAAGGUUUUGCCCUUGGGCCGGAGGAAUCCCAGUCAUAUAUACAGCCUGGAAGGAGCAGUCCUUGAGAACAGUUCUGCAGAGAAACAUCUGGGGGUCCUGGUGGAUGAAAAAUUGGACAUGAGCCAGCAGU
Gallus gallus (chicken) is the source of this 4558-nucleotide long non-coding RNA. RefSeq lists it as uncharacterized. The transcript is spliced from 3 exons. The record is from RefSeq and is a predicted model, not a curated record. Lineage: Eukaryota; Metazoa; Chordata; Aves; Galliformes; Phasianidae.